AUUUAUAUUGUUGAUAUUGGCUAGUAUCCUUUUUAGGUAAUUUGUUGCUAAUGUCGACAUUUGUUAAAUGAGUAUUGAUUGUUGAAUUGUUGUUUUUUUCUUAGAUCUCUGACAUUACAAGUUUGAAACAAUGGUUCACAAUUGUUUUUGAAAGCAUAAAGUAGGAAAGAAAAUAGUAACAUAGAUAUUACAACUGAUGAUGAUAUGAUAAUUAUAAAGCAGGCUGCUGAUAAAGACAUAUAUGAGACUAAGAAGAAAAAGAGGUUUACUGAACUCACAGUUCCACAUGGCUGGGGAGGCCUCACAAUCAUUGCAGAAGGCAAGGAGGAGCAAGUCACAUCUUAUAUGGAUGAUGGCAGAUCACAUAUAAAAAUGGUUAUUUUCUAAUUAUGAAGUACCCAUGCAAUUCUUGUGCUAUUUUUGAGGUAUUUAUUUCUUUACUGAUUCAUCUGUUACUACAUGAAGGAUAAAUCUUUGUAAUUAAACACAUUAGUGUGUUUCCUGCUCUUUGACUUUCUGCUUUGGUGCCAUGCUAAGGAAGUAAUUCCAUAUUCUACAAUUUAAAAAAUCAUCACCUAAAUAUUCUUAGCAUGUUUUGGUCUACAGUAUAUGUUUAAUAUCUUUAAUAUAUAAAUAAUAAGGUGUAAUAGUUUGUUCUAUAAAG
This 664-nucleotide long non-coding RNA is filed under the name Callithrix jacchus (white-tufted-ear marmoset). RNAcentral's name for it is "lncRNA (ENSCJAG00000069962.1)". Lineage: Eukaryota; Metazoa; Chordata; Mammalia; Primates; Cebidae. The record is from RNAcentral.